Molecule: ribosomal RNA, 465 nt
Filed under: uncultured bacterium
Lineage: Bacteria
Description: partial 16S ribosomal RNA
Rfam family: Bacterial small subunit ribosomal RNA
Source: RNAcentral
GAUAAACGCUGGCGGCGUGCUUCAGGCAUGCAAGUCGAACAGACACUACGGUGUCAGUGGCGGACGGGUGAGUAACACGUAAGUAACCUGCCCAGAAGUGGGGAAUAACUGGCCGAAAGGCCGGCUAAUACCGCAUGUGAUGGCUCUUCCCUGGAGGGGUCAUGAAAGGAUUUAUUCGCUUCUGGAGGAGCUUGCGGCCGAUUAGCUAGUUGGUGGGGUAAUGGCCUACCAAGGCUGCGAUCGGUAGCUGGUCUGAGAGGACGGUCAGCCACACGGGGACUGAGAUACGGCCCCGACUCCUACGGGAGGCAGCAGCUAGGAAUCUUGGGAAUGGGCGAAAGCCUGACCCAGCAACGCCGCGUGGGCGAUGAAGGCCUUCGGGUUGUAAAGCCCUUUUGCGGGGGAAGAUGAUGACGGUACCCCGCGAAUAAACCACGGCUAACUACGUGCCAGCAGCCGCCGUAA